Molecule: ribosomal RNA, 631 nt
Filed under: Microbotryum violaceum
Lineage: Eukaryota; Fungi; Basidiomycota; Microbotryomycetes; Microbotryales; Microbotryaceae
Description: LSU rRNA
Rfam family: Eukaryotic large subunit ribosomal RNA
Source: RNAcentral
GCAUAUCAAUAAGCGGAGGAAAAGAAACUAACAAGGAUUCCCCUAGUAACGGCGAGUGAAGCGGGAAAAGCUCAAAUUUGUAAUCUGGCGCCUUUGGCGUCCGAGUUGUAAUCUCGAGAAGUAUUUUCCGCGCUGGACCGCACAUAAGUCUGUUGGAAUACAGCGUCAUAGUGGUGAGAACCCCGUAUAGGGUGCGGAUGCCCAGUGCUUUGUGAUAUACUUUCGAAGAGUCGAGUUGUUUGGGAAUGCAGCUCAAAUUGGGUGGUAAAUUCCAUCUAAAGCUAAAUAUUGGCGAGAGACCGAUAGCGAACAAGUACCGUGAGGGAAAGAUGAAAAGCACUUUGGAAAGAGAGUUAACAGUACGUGAAAUUGUUGGAAGGGAAACGCUUGAAGUCAGACUUGCAUUUUGGAGUUCAGCCGCAAGGUGUAUUCUUCAAUUCGCAGGCCAGCAUCAGUUUUUGGGGGUGGAAAAGCGUGGUUUGAAGGUAGCAGUCUCGGCUGUGUUAUAGCUUUCCACUGGAUUCACUUUUGGGGACUGAGGAACGCAGUACGCUUUUUGCAAGAUUCUCGGAUCUUUCGUACUUAGGAUGCUGGUGGAAUGGCUUUAAACGACCCGUCUUGAAACACGGAC